RNAcentral lists this ribosomal RNA (541 nucleotides) under uncultured Vibrio sp. RNAcentral's name for it is "bacterial SSU rRNA". It matches the Rfam family "Bacterial small subunit ribosomal RNA", at positions 958 to 1498 of the family's 1533-position model. Lineage: Bacteria; Pseudomonadati; Pseudomonadota; Gammaproteobacteria; Vibrionales; Vibrionaceae. The record is from RNAcentral.
AACGCGAAGAACCUUACCUACUCUUGACAUCCAGAGAACUUUCCAGAGAUGGAUUGGUGCCUUCGGGAACUCUGAGACAGGUGCUGCAUGGCUGUCGUCAGCUCGUGUUGUGAAAUGUUGGGUUAAGUCCCGCAACGAGCGCAACCCUUAUCCUUGUUUGCCAGCGAGUAAUGUCGGGAACUCCAGGGAGACUGCCGGUGAUAAACCGGAGGAAGGUGGGGACGACGUCAAGUCAUCAUGGCCCUUACGAGUAGGGCUACACACGUGCUACAAUGGCGCAUACAGAGGGCGGCCAACUUGCGAGAGUGAGCGAAUCCCAAAAAGUGCGUCGUAGUCCGGAUUGGAGUCUGCAACUCGACUCCAUGAAGUCGGAAUCGCUAGUAAUCGUGGAUCAGAAUGCCACGGUGAAUACGUUCCCGGGCCUUGUACACACCGCCCGUCACACCAUGGGAGUGGGCUGCAAAAGAAGUAGGUAGUUUAACCUUCGGGGGGACGCUUACCACUUUGUGGUUCAUGACUGGGGUGAAGUCGUAACAAGGUA